RNAcentral lists this small nuclear RNA (107 nucleotides) under Theropithecus gelada (gelada). Lineage: Eukaryota; Metazoa; Chordata; Mammalia; Primates; Cercopithecidae. The record is from RNAcentral.
GCGCUCACUUCAGCAGCACAUAUACUGAAAUUGAAACGGUACAGAGAAGAUUAGCAUGAUCCCCGCGCAAGGAUGAUAUGCAAAUUCAAGAAGCACUAAAAAAAAUU